ACUGCCAGCACUGCCUCUAAGCCG
This 24-nucleotide non-coding RNA is filed under the name Arabidopsis thaliana (thale cress). The record is from RNAcentral. Lineage: Eukaryota; Viridiplantae; Streptophyta; Magnoliopsida; Brassicales; Brassicaceae.